RNAcentral lists this non-coding RNA (88 nucleotides) under Gracilibacillus kekensis. RNAcentral's name for it is "c-di-GMP sequence". It matches the Rfam family "c-di-GMP-I riboswitch aptamer". From Rfam's summary of the family: GEMM was predicted in a large-scale screen for bacterial structured RNA regulatory elements. Genes associated with GEMM are involved in a diverse array of functions, including chemotaxis regulation, signal transduction, secretion and chitin. Lineage: Bacteria; Bacillati; Bacillota; Bacilli; Caryophanales; Bacillaceae. The record is from Rfam by way of RNAcentral.
UAAAGAUAUCGGCAAACCUUUCGAAAGAGUGGGACGCAAAGCUAAAGGGGCUAACCAUUAAUGUAAUGAAUGCCAGCCAGUUGCGCUU